RNAcentral lists this ribosomal RNA (301 nucleotides) under uncultured bacterium. RNAcentral's name for it is "partial 16S ribosomal RNA". It matches the Rfam family "Bacterial small subunit ribosomal RNA", at positions 509 to 808 of the family's 1533-position model. The record is from RNAcentral.
CAGCAGCCCGGGAAUACGGAGGGUGCAAGCGUUAAUCGGAAUUACUGGGCGUAAAGCGCACGCAGGCGGUCUGACAAGUCAGAUGUGAAAUCCCCGGGCUUAACCUGGGAACUGCAUUUGAAACUGUCAGGCUGGAGUCUUGUAGAGGGGGGUGGAAUUCCAGGUGUAGCGGUGAAAUGCGUAGAGAUCUGGAGGAAUACCGGUGGCGAAGGCGGCCCCCUGGACAAAGACUGACGCUCAGGUGCGAAAGCGUGGGGAGCAAACAGGAUUAGAUACCCCAGUAGUCCCUGUCUCUUAUACC